AACCUUUACACUGCACGACAGUGCGAUAAGGGGACUCCGAGUGCGAGGGCAUACAGUCCUCGCUUUUCUGUACCGUAAGGUGGUACAGGAACAAGUGCUGGGCAAGACCGGUGCCAGCCGCCGCGGUAAUACCGGCAGCACGAGUGAUGGCCGAUAUUAUUGGGCCUAAAGCGUCCGUAGCUGGCCGAGCAAGUCCGUUGGGAAAUCGACGUGCCUAACACGUCGGCGUCCAGCGGAAACUGUUCGGCUUGGGGCCGGAAGAUCCGAGGGGUACGUCCGGGGUAGGAGUGAAAUCCCGUAAUCCUGGACGGACCGCCGGUGGCGAAAGCGCCUCGGAAGGACGGACCCGACAGUGAGGGACGAAAGCCAGGGUCUCGAACCGGAUUAGAUACCCGGGUAGUCCUGGCCGUAAACAAUGCUCGCUAGGUAUGUCACGCGCCAUGAGCACGUGAUGUGCCGUAGUGAAGACGAUAAGCGAGCCGCCUGGGAAGUACGUCCGCAAGGAUGAAACUUAA
RNAcentral lists this ribosomal RNA (515 nucleotides) under uncultured archaeon. RNAcentral describes it as "bacterial SSU rRNA". It matches the Rfam family "Archaeal small subunit ribosomal RNA", at positions 345 to 859 of the family's 1478-position model. The record is from RNAcentral.